AUUGAACGCUGGCGGCAGGCCUAACACAUGCAAGUCGAGCGGAUGAAGGGAGCUUGCUCCUGUAUUCAGCGGCGGACGGGUGAGUAAUGCCUAGGAAUCUGCCUGGUAGUUGGGGAUAACGUCCGGAAACGGGCGCUAAUACCGCAUACGUCCUGAGGGAGAAAGUGAGGGAUCUUCGGACCUCACGCUAUCAGAUGAGCCUAGGUCGGAUUAGCUAGUUGGUAGGGUAAAGGCCUACCAAGGCGACGAUCCGUAACUGGUCUGAGAGGAUGAUCGGUCACACUGGAACUGAGACACGGUCCAGACUCCUACGGGAGGCAGCAGUGGGGAAUAUUGGACAAUGGGCGAAAGCCUGAUCCAGCCACGCCGCGUGUGUGAAGAAGGUCUUCGGAUUGUAAAGCACUUUAAGUUGGGAGGAAGGGCAGUAAGUUAAUACAUUGCUGUUUUGACGUUACCAAAACAAUAAGCCCCGGCUAACUUCGUG
Molecule: ribosomal RNA, 484 nt
Filed under: uncultured bacterium
Lineage: Bacteria
Description: partial 16S ribosomal RNA
Rfam family: Bacterial small subunit ribosomal RNA
Source: RNAcentral